RNAcentral lists this non-coding RNA (24 nucleotides) under Cricetulus griseus (Chinese hamster). Lineage: Eukaryota; Metazoa; Chordata; Mammalia; Rodentia; Cricetidae. The record is from RNAcentral.
CUGAGGGCUCCAACAGUGACAUGU